UGGUGGUUCAGUGGUAGAAUUCUCGCCUUCCAUGUGGGGAGACUCAGGUUCGAUUCCUGGCCA
RNAcentral lists this transfer RNA (63 nucleotides) under Loxodonta africana (African savanna elephant). It matches the Rfam family "tRNA", at positions 5 to 66 of the family's 71-position model. From Rfam's summary of the family: Transfer RNA (tRNA) molecules are approximately 80 nucleotides in length. Their secondary structure includes four short double-helical elements and three loops (D, anti-codon, and T loops). The record is from Rfam by way of RNAcentral. Lineage: Eukaryota; Metazoa; Chordata; Mammalia; Proboscidea; Elephantidae.